GCCUCUUAGUAGAGGAUAACAGUCGGAAACGAUUGCUAAUACUCUAUACUUCUGCUUUACAUAAGUAAAGUAGAGAAAGUUUUUCGCUAAGAGAUGAGGCUAUACUGUAUCAGCUAGUUGGUAAGGUAACGGCUUACCAAGGCUAUGACGCAUAACUGGUCUGAGAGGAUGAUCAGUCACAUUGGAACUGAGACACGGUCCAAACUCCUACGGGAGGCAGCAGUAGGGAAUAUUGCGCAAUGGGGGAAACCCUGACGCAGCAACGCCGCGUGGAGGAUGACACUUUUCGGAGCGUAAACUCCUUUUAUCGGGAAAGAAUAAUGACGGUACCCGAUGAAUAAGCACCGGCUAACUCCGUGCCAGCAGCCGCGGUAAUACGGAGGGUGCAAGCGUUACUCGGAAUCACUGGGCGUAAAGGGUGCGUAGGUGGAUUAUCAAGUCUCUUGUGAAAUCUAAUAGCUUAACUAUUAAAUUGCUUGGGAAACUGAUAGUCUAGAGUAGGGGAGAGGCAGAUGGAACUCUUGGUGUAGGAGUAAAAUCCGUAGAUAUCAAGAAGAAUACCUAUUGCGAAAGCGAUCUGCUAGAACCUAACUGACACUGAUGCACGGAAGCGUGGGG
RNAcentral lists this ribosomal RNA (618 nucleotides) under uncultured bacterium. Its description in RNAcentral is "bacterial SSU rRNA". It matches the Rfam family "Bacterial small subunit ribosomal RNA", at positions 128 to 766 of the family's 1533-position model. The record is from RNAcentral.